AGAGUUUGAUCCUGGCUCAGGACGAACGCUGGCGGCGUGCCUAAUACAUGCAAGUAGAACGCUGAAGGAGGAGCUUGCUCUUCUGGAUGAGUUGCGAACGGGUGAGUAACGCGUAGGUAACCUGCCUGGUAGCGGGGGAUAACUAUUGGAAACGAUAGCUAAUACCGCAUAAGAGUAGAUGUUGCAUGACAUUUGCUUAAAAGGUGCAAUUGCAUCACUACCAGAUGGACCUGCGUUGUAUUAGCUAGUUGGUGGGGUAACGGCUCACCAAGGCGACGAUACAUAGCCGACCUGAGAGGGUGAUCGGCCACACUGGGACUGAGACACGGCCCAGACUCCUACGGGAGGCAGCAGUAGGGAAUCUUCGGCAAUGGACGGAAGUCUGACCGAGCAACGCCGCGUGAGUGAAGAAGGUUUUCGGAUCGUAAAGCUCUGUUGUAAGAGAAGAACGAGUGUGAGAGUGGAAAGUUCACACUGUGACGGUAUCUUACCAGAAAGGGACGGCUAACUACGUGCCAGCAGCCGCGGUAAU
This 532-nucleotide ribosomal RNA is filed under the name uncultured bacterium. RNAcentral's name for it is "bacterial SSU rRNA". It matches the Rfam family "Bacterial small subunit ribosomal RNA", at positions 8 to 524 of the family's 1533-position model. The record is from RNAcentral.